UCACUCUAGUGUUAAAUAAAAAAGAUCUUCGAUCAAGGGCUACCAUUUCAACAGCCAAGAAAAACAAUAGUGAUGCAAGUUAUCAUCAAAGCUCAAACACUAGGGGCUAAGGCUCCUCACUCUUUCUUGUGAAAAAUCAAAGCAUCAACGACAUUGGCCACCUAAUAAAAAACUGACAGUCGAUGAAGAAGAAUGCUUCAAAUUAUGGACAUCUGAGCGCUCCCCCUCGCGUAGUUGUCCUGUUUUAUAUAUCCACAUAUAUUAAAUUCAGUAUGAAAAGAAAGAAUUAAAAAAGGGAAACAUAACAAUUUUCCUUUAUUUCCACUUUUUUUUUCCCUUUCAAAAUCAUACAAAAACUUUAGGGCUGGUAAUUUAUUCACUAAAACCAUCAGCCAUGAACACAACACAAUCGACUCAUCAAGGUUAAUGUUCAAUUUGCUUGUCAUAUUCUUCUGAAAAUGACAUAACCAAACAACAUUCACCUUGACUUGACAAUUUCUUCUUUCAUGGCAAGUGAAAGAGCAUUUAAACAACAGCCACUUUCUACUACUACACCAGGCAUUGCCACAGCUCUACUCCCCACAAAACUGCCUUCACCUACUCUAACUUUUCCAAAUUUCACUACCCCUUCACCUUCAUAUAUGUGUCCAAAUAACAAUGCUUCUUUGCCUAUACAUCCACCUCUUUCAAUCUCUACCAUUUCAGGAUUCAACAAAACUCCACUGCUAUCUACAUAAACCCCUUGACUUAAUUCAACUUCUGAUCCCAUGAGUUUCAUCCAAAUGACAAACAAGAAUGAUCCUGUUGUCAUUUCCAUGAAAUAUUCACUAACAAGUGUCCUAAAUGCUUGCCAUAAUGUUUCCAUUAAUAGCCCUUUGCUCCAUAUUAGUGCUUGUCCUCCAUCUUUCUUCUUUGUAGUGAAAAGUAGUUUUGCUAACACACAAGCCAAUGCUGCUAAUAGCCCUGAAGAUAUCCAAAAGAAAGGAAAAAACCAGUAUCGUGGAUGAUUUGUUGUUAAAAACAUCAGCCAGUUUAGAGGGCCAUGAACUGAAUAUGCCAAGAAAAAGUAUGGCAAGAAUGUUUGCAAUAGUGGCUGAACAAAAGUGGACCAAGAAGUUUGAUACCAUGUUCUUGAUAGAGCUACUUCUUGAUGACUUGUUUCUUCUUUUACUUGUAGUGAAGAUGCUAUAGGACAACCAGAGAGAUCAACUUUCACAUCUGAUUGCUCUAUGAAGUUCUUCCAGGCUGCUGGAAGUGGUUCACCAUUUCUCAAAUGUUGACAAAUUUCAUAGAUCAACGAACGACCGUGAUCGAUUGAAGCACUUUGAGAGGCUGAUGUGGCCUUCACAACAUCAAUCUCGUGGCAUCGACGAAAGGGGUUGAAUUCCAGCUUCUCUGAUUGCUCCUUUGUGAGGUUCUGAUCAAGAAUAAUUUCACCAACAUUAACAUAUGGGAAUUCAGAUUCAUCCCAUGGCCUAGUACAGUCAAGUGCAAUGUCUUGUGUUGCUUCAUCCUUAGGCACUGGCCUGAAUUGUAGUUGGAAAAUGUAGCGAAUGCCACCUGGUGAACUGACCCUUUUCUUGAAAUCAUCAGCAAGGAAAAGUAACGGACGCGUGUCGUUAUCUUUCCUAGGAAUUGCACCUGUUUCUGGAGGAAGUAUUCCAAUAGGCUCAACUUUACCAGAAUCUUCACUAAUGUUUUCAUCAAAAGGCCUUAACUUGAACUUAACAUACAUUUCUUGUCCAUCUGUGAACCUGAAAAGCCUGCAUAUAUUCGAGUAAUAAUGCAUCUCUGUAUACGAGUUCGAAUCACGUAGUGAUGUCCAUACUGCAUCGCGAACAUGUGGAACGUGUUUCACGUGCUCCUCCCUUGCUGCUAAGCCACAAACAAGCCAUGUUGCGAAAUCAGAUACAGUCCGAGCAUAGAAAGCUUUCCCUGUCUUCAAUGUCAAGUCAAGAAUCGGUCUUUCAUAAUCUGAAGCAGUAUCAGAGAGUAUUCUCAAAGCAGCACCACGAGCAUCGAGCCUUGCAUCAUCAUCGGCACUUAAGCUGUUGCUGUGCCGGACUAUCACAGGAAAAGAUUUGCCAGAUUGAAAGAUUUUAUGGUCUGGCAAUCCUUUGAUAUUGUCAUACAUCUCAAGAACUCCCUUUCCACUAACACCAAUUCUGUGAAAAUAUCUUGUUUUGACCUUGAGAGUUGUGGAAGCUAAAUUAGCAGCUAGAUUGCCAACUAUCUUCUUGUAUUUCAUAUCCAUCUCUUCUAUCCUUUCAUCCAUGGUAUGUUGGGUGUUCUUUAUCAUGACUGGGACUUGAGAUCCAAUGUAAAUGCCACCACUAUGAAGAACAGAAUUCAUUGGAGCAACUGAAAGUGCACCAAGAAUAACAUUUUCUUGGAUAAGUGACUUAGGAAGUACAACACUUUGGCUCCCAACAACUGAAUUGUCUUGUACCUCAAUUUUCCCGCUUGUGAAUCCGCUCGAGGAAUACAAUCCGGUUAUAAUCCUGCUGAAGUCACCUAGAUGGACACCGUCACCUAGUGUUAUCAAUUUUGGAUCGGAAACCGGGUUGAUUGCUCGGAUAGAACAAUGUUUUCCAACUUUUGCACCCAAGAGUCUCAAGUAUAUGCAGAAAGCUUCAGUACCAGAAAGGAGUUUAGUAAAUCUGAGAUGGCAUGCAACGUUAAUUCUAUGUUUCAACCAUAUUCUCAGUGAACCAUCUGUGCUUUUAGAGAGAAAAUUGUUUACAACUAUGGUAAGAAAGCUGAGAAUCAAGCCAUGUGCCAAGUAGGCAGUUGCAACUGAGACAGCGAAGAUUAUCGGACUUGUUGAGGUACUAGAAAUAAUGGUCAUGUAAGCAAUGAUAGUAAAAGGUAACCAGUGGAAUGCUCCAGAGAGACAGAUUAAGGAAAAGUGUUGAAGAGAUGGAGAUUUUUGAGCUAAUAUUAUAUACAAGAAAUAAAGGAUAGCUCCUGAGAGAGCGCUUAUGAAUCCGACAAUGUAGAUUCCCAUCAAGUGAUAUAUAGCUGUACAGAGACCAUCUUUUGUUUCAUUUUCAGGUUCAAUGACCUGAAAUCACAAUAGAAAUGCAUUAUACUAUGUUGAAAAGAUAUACCAAAUAAUCUUUCAGGGAAUAUAGAUAUUAGGUCAGAUGCAACUUGAAGUCACAAACUACUACUCCCUUCUUUUCAUUUUAUGUAUCUUAGUUUGACUAGUCUCAGAGUUUAAGAAAAAAGAAAGAAAGACUUCAGAAUCUUGUGGUCUUAAACUAUAGCCAUACAAAUAUCUAUGACUUAUUUUAGACCACAAGUUUCAGAAGUCUUCCUUUCAUUCUUAAACUUCGUGCCCAGUCAAAAACCUUCACAUAAUUAGGUACAGAGUGAGUACUUUGAAACUGAGGGAGCAUUAGUUUCUGUUCAGGAGCUAAGCAAGAAAAUAUGAAGACUAUUUAUUUUCAAAUAAAGUUCAUAGGAUACUGUUAUAAACCUUAAAAUAAUGUAAUAAUGAACUGCUUGUUAUAGAUAAAGAGAAAGAGACAUAGUGAUAUUAUUUAAGGUUAUAAGAAGCUUAACAAGCAGAUAAAUUUAACUUUUGAAAUCGGAGUCCUCACCUUCUUACUACUAUUUGAUCUUGAUGCUGCCUUUCCUCCUGUUUUCUGUAAUGAUGGUACCUCAGUCCCUUCUCCCAAAACACUUCCUUUCUGGAGUACAGCAUAAGGACCGACCGAACAGUUUUUUCCAAUUCUUACUGGAAGGAAACUCAACAUUCCAUUUUUAACUUCAUGGCCUUGAAUUAAAGCUCCUUCUGCAAUAACAGCUCCAUCUCCUAUCGAAACGAGUGCUGGAUCAGUGAUAUCGAUGGUAUCCAGUACGACUGAUGAUCCUAUCCUUGCUCCAAAUACUUGGAACCAGUAUUUCAGAAAUACUGUUCCUCUCAAAUGCACUGCCAUAACUUUAGAUGAAAUUUCUUGUGCCUUAUAUAGCGCCCACCACUUAACGAAAUCCAAUGACCAGAUGGACACUUCUGGGGUCAGAGAAUAAUUUGGUUGAAGGACCAAAUUUCCAAGGAUACCGAUGCAUAUGCAUGUUGUAGAUAUGCAUAGAAGCCAAGCAAAUGGUGCCAACAUCAAAGAGAUUGCAUAACCAGCCCAAGGAAAUGAAGUCAUCAAAAUAGGACUUGCCAAAAUCAGGUUUCUAUAGAAAGAUAUGGAUGAGUAGGCAGGAAGGACCAGCAUGAAAAUGGCAUAGACAAAAGCAAGAAGUUGCAAUAGCAUGAUACCAAAUUGACGAGACGAGGAAACUUCUUCAGCCACCAAAUUACAAGAAUCAUCCUCUGAGUAGUCUGGAAGAUAAGAAGGAUUUGCUGCAUCGUGUGGUUGAGAUUUCAUAACUAAAUCCUCCGUGAAGCUUGCCAAGUCAUCGAUGCAAGUUGCUGUGAAGAUAUCGAUUGCACCGACUUGCACUCCAAGAAAAUCUGAAAGCUUUUGAGCUGCCCUUACUACGCCAAUAGAAUCAAUACCAUAAGCUACUAAGCUUUCAGUAGUAGUAAUCUUGCUGAUAGAGAUUCCUGUCUGCUCCGACACGAUUCCCUUUAGGAACUCGACUAUUUCUGUUUUAUUCAUUCUUGGAGUUGGUGAAGGGACUGUUAUAUUCAAAUGUGGCCUUGGUGUAUUUCCCUCCCUGCAUGAACCUGUGGUGAAAGAUCUAAGAAGUUUCCGCUUCGACGAAAUUUGAUCUGGUACCACAUCCAAUGUUCCAUCAGUGAAUUGUUUCAAGCACUCAAAUCUCUUUAUCUUUCCAGAUGUUGUUUUGCUGAUUGUUCGUGGCUUGAUCAGCUUAACAGAAGCCAAAGUGACACCAUGUUCUUCAGCAACUUUCGCCGUAAUUUCCUCAGUGACAUCUUUACUAACGGAUUUACCAUCUCUAACUUCUGCAAUGACAACUAAGCCAACUUGAUCAGAGUGAUCAGGUACUGAAACUCCUUUACUUGAUAAGGUCUCUUCUGGUACUCCAAUAACAGCGCAACAACCCGGGCGGAGGAUUUCAGACGAGCUUUCGACAGUCUUUUCUAUGUCUGAUGGGUUAUGUUAUGAGUGGCCCAGUGCUUCAAAUAAUCAUCAAGGCUAGACAAUUCCGGGAAUUCCACUUGCUGAGAUUCUGUCAAAGCUUUUGGAUUCUUAUCCGAGCAAUCAGAUAAGAGCGGAAAUAAUCUCUGCAAAAACAAUGAUUUUUGAAUUGAAUUAGUCACAUGUCACACUUCAAGUUUUUCUUAAAGUGAAACUUAAUCUGCAUUUCAGUCUUUUUCUGUUUCAGGUACCUUAACGUAAGGAAAUCUCGGUUGUGGAUCAGUAUGUGCAAAGUGCUUGGAGAUUAAAGCCAUUGAAUAGGAUGAAUUUCUUUCAGUGAGCUCAAACGCCAUUAAUCCACCGACAUAAUAAGUGUUUUGCUGA
Molecule: long non-coding RNA, 5444 nt
Organism: Lycium ferocissimum
Lineage: Eukaryota; Viridiplantae; Streptophyta; Magnoliopsida; Solanales; Solanaceae
Exons: 2
Source: RefSeq, a predicted model, not a curated record